AGGGUUAUAGUUAAGUUAUAACAUUUGAUUUGCAUUCAAAAAUUAUUGAAAUCUCCAAUUUACCUU
This 66-nucleotide transfer RNA is filed under the name Syrphidae sp. MT-2014. RNAcentral's name for it is "tRNA-Ala". Lineage: Eukaryota; Metazoa; Arthropoda; Insecta; Diptera; Syrphidae. The record is from RNAcentral.